RNAcentral lists this microRNA precursor (61 nucleotides) under Aegilops tauschii subsp. strangulata. RNAcentral's name for it is "pre miRNA mir-2973". The record is from RNAcentral. Lineage: Eukaryota; Viridiplantae; Streptophyta; Magnoliopsida; Poales; Poaceae.
GACGGCAAAGAACUGGCUGAUGGCGAAGAAGGAUUUUGCCAUCAGCCAGUUCUUUGCCGUC